UCAGCAGCCUCUACAAACAUGAUACUGCAGUGUACUGGUGUGAGUCCAGAGAGGGAGCAGCCAGCAGCAGCAUCCAGCUCACUGUCUCUGGUGGAUCAGUGAUCCUGCAGAGUCCUGUCCUCCCUGUGAUGGAGGGAGAUGACGUCACUCUGAGCUGUCAAACAAAGACUUCCUCCAACCUCCCAGCUGCUUUCAUUAAAGAUGGCUCCCUCAUCAGGACUGAACCUGCAGGUCACAUGACCCUCCACCAUGUGACCAGCUCUGAUGAAGGUCUCUACAAGUGUAACAUCAGUGGUCAUGGAGAGUCUCCAUCCAGCUGGAUCUCUGUCUCAG
Long non-coding RNA from Girardinichthys multiradiatus, 333 nucleotides. RefSeq lists it as uncharacterized. The record is from RefSeq and is a predicted model, not a curated record. The transcript is spliced from 2 exons. NCBI's taxonomy places the organism in Eukaryota, Metazoa, Chordata, Actinopteri, Cyprinodontiformes, Goodeidae.